GUGGGGAAUAUUGGACAAUGGGCGCAAGCCUGAUCCAGCCACGCCGCGUGAGUGAUGAAGGCCUUCGGGUCGUAAAGCUCUGUGGGGAGGGACGAACCGCCGGUAGUUAACAUCUACCGGCAUGACGGUACCUCCUUAGCAAGCACCGGCUAACUUCGUGCCAGCAGCCGCGGUAAUACGAAGGGUGCAAACGUUGCUCGGAAUCAUUGGGCGUAAAGCGCACGUAGGCGGCUCUACAAGUCGGAUGUGAAAUCCCUCGGCUCAACCAAGGAAGUGCAUCCGAAACUGCAGAGCUUGAGUACAGAAGAGGAUCGCGGAAUUCCCGGUGUAGAGGUGAAAUUCGUAGAUAUCGGGAGGAACACCAGUGGCGAAGGCGGCGAUCUGGGCUGAUACUGACGCUGAGGUGCGAAAGCGUGGGGAGCAAACAGGAUUAGAUACCCCAGUAGUCC
RNAcentral lists this ribosomal RNA (449 nucleotides) under uncultured bacterium. RNAcentral's name for it is "bacterial SSU rRNA". It matches the Rfam family "Bacterial small subunit ribosomal RNA", at positions 354 to 796 of the family's 1533-position model. The record is from RNAcentral.